RNAcentral lists this ribosomal RNA (560 nucleotides) under uncultured Sphingobacteriia bacterium. RNAcentral describes it as "bacterial SSU rRNA". It matches the Rfam family "Bacterial small subunit ribosomal RNA", at positions 335 to 915 of the family's 1533-position model. The record is from RNAcentral. Lineage: Bacteria; Pseudomonadati; Bacteroidota; Sphingobacteriia.
ACUCCUACGGGAGGCAGCAGUGGGGAAUUUUGCGCAAUGGGGGAAACCCUGACGCAGCAAUGCCGCGUGGAGGAUGAAGUCCUUUGGGAUGUAAACUCCUUUCGAUCGGGAAGAUUAUGACGGUACCGGAAGAAGAAGCCCCGGCUAACUCUGUGCCAGCAGCCGCGGUAAUACAGAGGGGGCAAGCGUUGUUCGGAAUUAUUGGGCGUAAAGGGCGCGUAGGCGGUGCGGUAAGUCACUUGUGAAAUCUCCGGGCUUAACCCGGAAACUGCCGUUGAUACUAUUUGUCUUGAAUAUAGUGGAGGUGAGCGGAAUAUGUCAUGUAGCGGUGAAAUGCUUAGAUAUGACAUAGAACAUCGAUUGCGAAGGCAGCUCGCUACACUAUUAUUGACACUGAGGCACGAAAGCGUGGGGAUCAAACAGGAUUAGAUACCCUGGUAGUCCACGCCCUAAACGAUGGAUACUCGACAUCAGCGAUACACGGUUGGUGUCUGAGCGAAAGCAUUAAGUAUCCCACCUGGGAAGUACGACCGCAAGGUUGAAACUCAAAGGAAUUGACG